GGAACCACCCGAUCCCAUCCCGAACUCGGAAGUGAAACGCAGCUGCGCCGAUGGUAGUGUGGCUUAAGCCAUGCAAGAGUAGGUCAUCGCCAGGG
RNAcentral lists this ribosomal RNA (95 nucleotides) under Pseudomonas sp. The record is from RNAcentral. RNAcentral also lists the same sequence under 1 other name. Lineage: Bacteria; Pseudomonadati; Pseudomonadota; Gammaproteobacteria; Pseudomonadales; Pseudomonadaceae.